UCUUACCCAGCAAGGCAGACCCGCUGGUGGGCUGUUUACUGCUCCACAUAACUGCGCGCUCAUAUGGUGCCAGCCAUACCCAUCUCUUAUGUCUAACGCCGGUCCCAGUGAUGUUUGCAGAAACUUCUUCGGUGGUUUUGCCUAGCUCCCAUCCGUCUUUAUUACUUUCCGUCAUACCAAAUGACUUUCGUCUACGAACAUACUUCCACAUCCAUUCGCCCACCAUGGUCUGUGCGAUCGCAUCAACGACACUAGUCUGCUGUACGCUUGUGUUGGUAUUGACUGACUCGUUUCUCCGGUGAGACCUGGCAGGGGGCGGGACUUGUCGAUUUGAAUGCAGUUUACCAGAUCGCUUUCGCCGGGGGGCUGUUAUUUCGUCAACAGGCAUGGGUGGGAGGUGUGGGCUUUCGGGGCAGGUUGAUGAUGUCGACAUUGUUGGUGGAGAAUGGCUUUGCUGCCGAUCGGGACGAUGCAUCCCAGCCACCACAGCGGCCGAGCGAACUUUGCGAAGUGGAGGCUCUCUUAAUAGAAAGCCCCGCUCCGGGAAAUUUCCGUUGCUGUACGGCGUCGGACUCUGAGCGCCCUCGCUCGCACUGACGGGGAUUUUGCGCGAGCUCAAUCUCACCGGAACGGGGAAAGGAGGUUUGGCUGCGGUGCUGGUCGAGGCAGCGCUGCUGCCGAUGCUAGGUGCACUGGGGCUGCGAGGCCUGUACGCCUGGUGUGCGGCAGUAGAGCUGGAAAUCAUGGCAGUGCGGCGAAUAUCAGGUUGCUUCGCGACAUUGCCUAAUUUCAAAGGUCUGGGCGGUCGUUUAGCAGAUGGCAAUUUCCCACCGGGCACAACACGGGGCUGAGGGCCGUUGGGAGCUUUUGUUUCAACUAUUGAUUUCGGCGAAUGUGGUUCAUCCACUUCUUCUGGGUGUUCCUCACGCUCCGCGAGAGGGUUGUCGUCCAGUAUUGAGGGCGCCGGCUUUGUAACGAGCUUGCCAGCUCUCAGUGUAUAAGAUGCGAGGGGUCGAUUGAAGAGCUCGUCAUCGCUAAACAGAUCCUCCUGUGGCUCUGGCCAUUCGUCAUCACUAACAUGUUCAAAGCCAGCAAAUAAACUGCUGGUUCUGAACGGCCGUCGAAGUUCCAAUUUCGUAUCCUCAGAAAGGGGACCAUUGUCAUUAUUUCCUGGAUAUGCUUGCAACUUUUCGGGUUCUUUAUCUUUUGAGGAAGGCCGUGUGAGCGGCGCAGGCUCAACUGAGGGAGGGUUUCGAAGUCUCCUUUUUGCAGAUUUCGGGGGCACGUGAAAUUGUUGGAUGGGUGGUGGUGAAGGUAGAUCAAUGGAUUCUGGACUCAUUGGCUGGUCUAUAAUCGCGGAUGGGAGGAGUUUUGCGGGUAGCUUGGCACUACGUUUAUCAACGCGAAUCUCUUCUGUUUGCAUGCCACAUGACCGGACGUCGGCGAGUGGUUCGAUAUAUGUCUGGCAUGAUACACUCUUGGUUUGUGGGGGCAAUACAACGCUGUUCCUGGCGGAUGGGGGGUUUGAGCCGGGGGGUUCGAUCGUGAUCAUGGGGAUUGGCAUUGCCUGUCGGAUUAUUUGUUCUAGGUUUCGGGUUUCUUUGUCCUUGAUAAUUACAUCGUCGGUUUGAGUUGAGAUGGAAACCGUUGCUACCACUGGAAUUUCAGUCACGGGAGCCGGAGAAGCUAUGGGUGUGGACUCCUCUGAUGGAGUUUCUUCAACUGUUGGGGUUGAAGGAGGGCUUGGAGGCUCUCCGGUUGUCUGGCAUGCAGAAGAGGUGGUGAGGACAGGCGCAGUGACGGUGCUGCUGUCACUCGAUUCGUAUACAGGCAUUGAUUCUGUACUGGAAGACAUUUGACUUUUCUCUUGAUUUUCAUUGCUCGCGCCAUUCACCGGAGGAGCCUCAUCGACAAUGACUUGAUCGGGUUCCAGUACAACCUUAGGGGAUGGAGGUGGAGUAUAUUGGAUUCCGAUGUCUCUAUAUUCCAAUUGUGGUACAGCGGUGGUCCUCUUUUCAUUUUGUUCGACAUCCGGAAUCACAUUCAGAUUUUUUGGAUGAUCAAGCACAUCGGGAGUGCCGAACCUUUCAUGCCCGUCAAGUGGCAUAUCGAACGUACGCCGGGCCAUCCUGCUGCUCAUCCGUCGCGAUUGCAUUGAUAUGGGCCUUUCGUGGUCAGGAACCGUGCAUCUCGAAUCAGGUCGGUCAUCUAGACCCAAUGUGUCUUCCUCUUCCUCGUCAAAUGCGAGUUCGUCUGCUAAGUUCAAGCCGUCCACCUUGUGUCCAUGACCAUUGGCAAAACUCAUGACGGAGUACCUUACAUUAUGCAGAUCGCCGUCAUGGGUACUUACGCUUGCAGUACUCGUACGUCGCCGUCCCAUGACACUGCCCGAACGGAUGCUGUAGGUAUCACUACCCUUUGCCGUCAUGCCAUCACGAACAGAAUCAUCAAAGUCUCCAUCAACACCACGAGGAAAUGAACCCGCUGCCUGAGCUGCUGCAACCUCGUUGAGAACAACUUUCAGACGUCCCUCGACGACAUGGACUUUCCGUUCCCAGUUCCUCCGCUCUUCCUCCCAAUUCUGCUUAUCCCGCUCCCACAGCCUUUGGGUCCGUUCAAUUUCUUCUUCCUGAGUACGCGCUCUUUUCUGUGACUGCUCAAGUCUUUUGCGGAAAUCCGCAAUGUUCUCUAAAGCAUCAUCACGCUCCUUGGACAAUUCUGUCAUAGCAGACAUGGAACCACCCUCAAGAAGCUGUAUCUGCUUUUUCAAUGAACGGUUCUCCUUGGAGCUCCUUGAGAGCGUCUCGCUCAAAGACUCCGCUUCCGACUUUGCCGUUUCCAGGGUCAUCUCAAGAGAAUCAAUUGCCUUCGCUUUCGCCUCCAUGUCGCGGCGCAGGGACAAGAUCUCGGAAACGAGAGAGGCAUGUAAGGUUGGGGUGAACCGUCGAGGAUCUAGGGGAGAUAUUGUCUCGUCAUUUGCGGGGUCAAUUGGGCUGACAGGGCCAUCGGAUUCGUACCGGUUGUCGGAGUUGAAGCGCGGAGGGGAGGAGGAGGGUCCUGGAGACGAAUCUCUGCGGUGGAGCGAUGGGCGGCGCGACAUUGGGUUUGAGGGGGUCCGGUAGGGCUUCUUGUCCUUACCCGUGGGUAGGGACGUUCCCAGGUAUGUAUAGUCAUUUUCAAAGUCGGAAGGCAUUGUGGAUAUGUGUGGGUGAGUGGGUAGUGAUGGGUAUGGGUGUAUCCUUCAGUUCCAGUUACUGCUGUCAUACGUGCAUGACUAUAUGAAGAACUCGUUGCGAUAAACAAACGAAAAGACAACCGCCGCCAAUACGAGAUUGGGUGUGAUAGACGCCAGGAGGGGGAAAAAAAUAAACAAACAAUUUGAUGCCCUCGUUGCCCGGGGUUUAGUGAGGGGGGUGGGAUUGAAUGAGUGAGUUAAGGUUGGACAAUUUCGUAAUAUCAAGGAAGUGUUUCAGUUUGUUCUGUCCAAGGCUCAACGGUUGGCGGGGGAUUGAGGAAUCGAGGUAAGUUGGUAGUGGGUAGGUAAAUUCCCCGUCUCACUCAUAUAUUUGUUUUCGUAUUUAUUUAUAGCAUUUACACUUCAACGGUAAGUCAUGUGCAUAAAAUCAAUCUAUUCCGCAACAACGUCCAGAGCUGGUUGGUGGUGGUGAAGGGGGAAUUUAUCCUUUCAGAAAAGAAAUUCCAGGGGCGGAAAAAAGGAGAACGAACGAACGAACAAACUUCCGACAAAAUUCAAGGAGCCCGAUGUGGAGUGUUAUAUCUAUGCAGGUAGGAAAUUUGUCUCUAGAAAUUCUCGUGGAAGGAUUGUCAGGUAUGUCGUGCUGUAUCGUGCUCUGUUGUGUUGUUGUUCGCACAGGAAUAGAAUGCUCGUCUCUCAAGGUCUCUUCACUAGUUACCUGAAGCUAUACAUGACGUUAGCCGCUAGCCUGGUAAGGAAAUUUCACAGUAAAGGACCCACUGCACUGCAUUCAGUAUGUACAUCUUUGUGUCUUGUAUUUUGGAACUUGGAGAACAGAAGGGGGAGAACUGACGAACGGCGAGUAGUCGAUGUAACUAUCGGAUGUCUCUAUGUAAGCAGGAGAAACUGGGUGGUGAAGGAGGAUCGGCCCGGCAAGGUAUGUGCUGAAUUGUAUAUAGGUCAAGGUCCAGCCAUUGAGGUAUGUAUAGACAAUGUCGAGUAUUUGAUCUAUUUAUCAAACAGAUAAACGUCAAUUGAGAAGUAGGAGUAGGAGUAAUAGUAGUGGUAGUAGUGGUGCGUAGCCACGAGGUGUAAAUCAGGCGUGUGGGAAGCUACAUCAGGAUGUGUCGUCGCGAAAGGGGCCGGGUGAGUGAGUAAACCGGAGGACGCAGAAGCAUAAAUGACCUUCCUGUCUUCGUCAGGCCCUUCUAUUUCUCAUUUCCUCUCCAAGAACAAAAAACGAACGUGAGCAGUAGUGGUAGCUGCCGUUGUCGUGGAGGUAGCUGCGGAGUGGUGGUGGCAGAGGAAAAGGGACGAAAUGGAAGCUUUGUCAGGUGGAGGACGGUAGCUUCGUGGAGUACGGCUCGAUAGAUAGAUUGGGUGUUUGAGAUGUAGAUGGCGAAGGGGAAAAGAGAGAAGAAAGAGCGAGAAAAGAAGCAGCAGUUAGUGAAUCUCGCUGUCACCGUCAAAAAGAGAUAGAAGAGAUAGACGAGUGUGGUAUGUGGUAUUGUGUAUUCAGCUCAUCCGGGAGCGAGAGUUGCUCCCACGCCGCAAAGAACUCAGCGACGGACGGCGACGGUGACAUC
RNAcentral lists this small RNA (4782 nucleotides) under Histoplasma capsulatum var. duboisii H88. RNAcentral's name for it is "Histoplasma capsulatum H88 hypothetical RNA". The record is from RNAcentral. Lineage: Eukaryota; Fungi; Ascomycota; Eurotiomycetes; Onygenales; Ajellomycetaceae.